Molecule: ribosomal RNA, 460 nt
Filed under: uncultured bacterium
Lineage: Bacteria
Description: partial 16S ribosomal RNA
Rfam family: Bacterial small subunit ribosomal RNA
Source: RNAcentral
CCUACGGGGGGCAGCAGUGAGGAAUAUUGGUCAAUGGGCGUAAGCCUGAACCAGCCAAGUCGCGUGAGGGAUGAAGGUUCUAUGGAUUGUAAACUUCUUUUAUAAGGGAAUAAAAGGAGGGACGUGUCCCGUUUUGUAUGUACCUUAUGAAUAAGGAUCGGCUAACUCCGUGCCAGCAGCCGCGGUAAUACGGAGGAUCCGAGCGUUAUCCGGAUUUAUUGGGUUUAAAGGGUGCGUAGGCGGGCUGUUAAGUCAGCUGUUAAAGUUUGUGGCUCAACCAUAGAAUUGCAGUUGAUACUGGAAGGCUUGAGUAUGUUUGAGGCAGGCGGAAUGCGUGGUGUAGCGGUGAAAUGCUUAGAUAUCACGCAGAACCCCGAUUGCGAAGGCAGCUUGCCAAGCCGUGACUGACGCUGAUGCACGAAAGCGUGGGGAUCAAACAGGAUUAGAUACCCGGGUAGUC